AUGGCACAUCAGGUGCUCUGCGUCUCCGUGGGCGCCGCAGUGCCCGCAGCUGUCAUCGCGGUCGGUCCUCCACCUCGCGCGCCCGGCGGGUGUGAAGCUGGAGCCGCUUGCCAGAUAAUCAUCACCACAAUGAGGGUCGCAGUGGUCAUUGCGUUCUUAGUUGGGAUGCUGUCCCUGACAGCUGUGCUUCCGGAACCAGCCUCUGCGGGAAGCGUUCCCGCAGAUCCUGCUGAUGCUGACGUGUUCCAAAUAGCAUUGGAGCUGACAGGCGGAGACGAGGAAGCCGCCAUUUUAACGUUGAUGAACGAAUACAUGCAGGAACUGACUGACCAUCCAGUCCUGCUCUACCAAUGCUACCGGAAUGGAACAACCAUAGAGACAGAAGAUGCACGAAACUUAUCCAUUCUUUUCGACGGUGUGGGUAAAGAGAAAGGACAGGUAUCGGUCCAGAUCUGGUACGUCAACGGCGAUUCUGGCGAAAUCAUCAGGGACACGGCUGAACUGACCCACCACACUGACUCGGACACGGUAACCUUCGCCGCCACAGGGGCGACGUCGGAGGUAACUCUCGUGGACUUCAGAGGCUACAAGAGUCACUACAUAACUGAAGACGUCGAUGGAAACGCCAAGGUUGGUAAGAUCUACGACGUCGACCUCACGUGCACCAAUGGCCAGGAGCUGUACGAGGAAGUCUGUCCAGAUGGAUGCGGCAUGGUGGCCACGAGGAGCUUCGUUUUUUAGAGUGCUCCUCAAUGGCGCUCAAUAUGCCUCUCGUACACUCUCGAAGAAAAUAAAGGAGAGUCACUGCGGUCAUCUCUACGUAUAAACCUAACCUAUGCAACCUACGAACGCGCACCCUACUUUAUGCCAUUUUCUUAUAUUAAACGCAGGAGUUUGCACGCGUCAAUAAAC
Ixodes scapularis (black-legged tick) is the source of this 912-nucleotide RNA transcript. RefSeq lists it as uncharacterized. The record is from RefSeq and is a predicted model, not a curated record. The transcript is spliced from 6 exons. NCBI's taxonomy places the organism in Eukaryota, Metazoa, Arthropoda, Arachnida, Ixodida, Ixodidae.